This 237-nucleotide signal recognition particle RNA is filed under the name human gut metagenome. RNAcentral's name for it is "Bacterial large signal recognition particle RNA". It matches the Rfam family "Bacterial large signal recognition particle RNA", at positions 2 to 230 of the family's 256-position model. From Rfam's summary of the family: The signal recognition particle (SRP) is a universally conserved ribonucleoprotein involved in the co-translational targeting of proteins to membranes. The record is from RNAcentral.
CGUGUAAAUCGGGGCGGUAGCGGUGCCUUGUAACCCUCAAUCCGCUAUAGAGGGGAUGAAAACUUGCCGUGAGGGGCAUCGACGUUCAGUCAGCCCUGUACAAGUGGCGUUGACGGUCCGGUCCUGCGCAAUUGAAACCUGUGAACCUCGUCAGGGCGGGAACGCAGCAGCGAUAAGCAGUCAUUUUGAUGUGCCGCAGGGAAGCCAGACCUGAGUUAACUGUACAGUCAGCGUGGG